Molecule: long non-coding RNA, 1159 nt
Filed under: Parus major (Great Tit)
Lineage: Eukaryota; Metazoa; Chordata; Aves; Passeriformes; Paridae
Description: lncRNA (ENSPMJG00000001406.1)
Source: RNAcentral
GAAAAAUUACAAAAAAAUUUAAAAUUUUUGUACAUUCUAUGCAAAAGAAUUUAGAAAAGAUAAUGGGCUUAGGUAAGUGUUACUGAAGAGUACACCAGUAAGGCUAUAGUAGUACAAGUUUACUAUAGAGUUGUAUUUGACUACUGGAGGUCUUUGCUCCUGGUUGUGGUGCUAAAUAAAAUGCCAAGGGGUUUUCAGCAUGGCUCUUGAAACGGAAGUUGAAUUUUCUUCCUUGCAAUAAAUAAAUUUUUCUUUUUUUUUUUCCAAUUUUAUUGAGAGAAGAAAUCCAGGAAAAAUCCAAUCAGCUGUGACUUUGGUUUACAGCUUUCUCCACCAUAUUUCUUUUUUUUUUUUCCCAAGUUGUAUUAUUACUUUUUUAGUUUUUAUGUAUAAAAUGAUCCUCCACAUUCUCUUAUGGGACACUGUCUGGGCUUUCCUCCUCUCCAGUUGUUCAUGCUUAAUUUGCAAAAUUUAAAUAACUGCUAUUAUAACAUAUAAGCUAAUGAUUUUCCUUAACCAUUUUCUUCCAUCCUCUAGAUGUAUCUGGAAUAUUGCAUGGUACAGAAAGUUAAUUUUUAAAUGAAUGAGCUGGGCUGGACUAUAUAAAUUCCUUAACUACUUGGAUAUCAGCUGGAGGAAAAAUCAUGUCAGGUCAUCACUGGAAACUGCUGGCACAGCUCUGAUUUUCAGGAACUUUCAGUCCUCUUAAAUGUCCUCAUUUUAUGGGAAAAUCAGAGACAUUAACUUCCAGGAAGAAGGAAGUGUUCUAGCUAAAUACGGUUUCCAGGGACCAAAACUGCCUUCAACUUCAAUGGUUUCUACUUACUUUUAUUUAACAUCUGUGGCUUCUCUUGUCAGUGAACAUUUGAGACAGCUCUGAACUGUGUUGUUAAAUAAUUUCAAGUUAAUAAUAAUAAUAGCAAUAAUAAUAAUAACAACAGGUUUUUUUUUUAAAUUAUAUGACCUGGACAUUUAAACUCAUUCUCCUUUGUCCCCUAUGGUCUUAAUAGAUAAGGCUGUGAAGAUAGAAAUAUCUUCAUGCUAGGGAAAACCAUCCUAUCAGCUUCUAAUUUGUCAUCUGUCUUUAAAGACAAAAAUAUUACAUAUUGUAAUAGAUAACCAAUCAUAAAACUGUACCAUUGCAUUAUGAAGGGAAUUG